This 21107-nucleotide long non-coding RNA is filed under the name Coffea arabica (coffee). Its description in RNAcentral is "long non-coding RNA (CARA_LNC005115)". The record is from RNAcentral. Lineage: Eukaryota; Viridiplantae; Streptophyta; Magnoliopsida; Gentianales; Rubiaceae.
GUUUGAGUCAACUGGAAUCACUUCAUUUGUUUCGUUUUCAUGGAUGUGGAUUUAAAUUCCCGUUGAAUUUGAAAAAGUUGGUUCUCUCACAUAAUCGUCAGCCAUGGAGUGAAAUUUCAACAAUUGGAAAGUUGCCCAAUCUUGAAGUGCUUAAAUUACUUGAGGACUGCUUUGUUGGGGAAGAAUGGGUAAUGAAAGAAGGGGAGUUCCCUAAACUCCGAGUCUUAAAAUUGUCGGAAUUGGAAUUUCGCAACUGGACUGCAUUUUCUGAUAAUUUUUCCCGCCUUGAGAAAUUGGUCUUGCACUCGUGUGAGGAGCUGGAAAAGGUCCCUUCCUGUUUAGGGGAGUGUGAGACGCUUGAAAUGAUUGAGGUGAAAGAGUGUCCUGAGUCUGUUGUAGAUUCUGUAAAGCAAAUUCAACAAGAGCAGAUAGAUAUGGGAAAUGAGGUUCUAAAGAUCGAAAUUGAUGAGUAUGAUACAUCCAUUUCCUCAGAAGAAUAGUCUACAGAAGCAGAGUCAACUCCCUCAGAAGCAGAGGAGAUUUCUUCAGAAAGAGAAUCUAUAUCCUCUCAUCAGUCAUCACGCAGUUGACAAUUGUGAGAGUGAAUGUACAGUAGGAUUCCACUCAUCAGGUCAGAUAAAACUAUAUUUGCAUAUGUUGAAUCAGUUCAAUUAUAUAAUGAUUCAUGUUUCUCUCAACAGUUUACCACGGCAAACCAUUCAUGUCUCCUUUUCAUCUGUUUAUAUGUUGAAUCAGUCCAAUGAUAUGUUAAUUCAUGUGUAUUUUGAAGCAAUUUCUGGAGGCGUCUAAAUUCUUUAUCUGUUUAAACCUGAUGCUGCUGCAUAACUUCCUGAUACAUUUCUGAUUGCAGUAGGAAACACAUUGAUGCACAAUCUGUUUCUAAAAUCUUCUUCCAUGUUGCUACAUAUUGAUAUGAUACUCAGAACCAGCAGAGCAAAAGCAUAACUUGAUAUGAUAUACUCAAAACCAGAUACACUUUUCUAUUCCCAAUUUGUGUUUGUAAAUAAGAGUAAUACAGAAAAGUGUAACUCAACUGAUUGAUAUGUUUAAACAUACAAUAACAGUUUUGCAACAAAUAUUAAGUGGAGACAAAAGCCCAAAAAAAACCUAUGGUUGUGUUAUUUUUCAACAGAGGAAGGGCAUAGGACUUAAUAUGUGUUUUUCUUCACUACAAUAUGCUGAAAUACAAACAUUUUCAUUCUUUAAUAGGCAAUAUUUUCGGAAAUAAAAAAGGAAGCAAUUUUUUCUUAAACUUUUUUUUUGUGUGUGGUUUCAUGUUUUAUUUUGCUAUUUUAAGUGGUUUAUUGCUCAAACUGAUCAAAAUGGCAAAUCAAAGAAACCAGAUGACCUAUUUUGUUGGGUAAUCUGUAUACCUCUUCAUUCAACUGAUGUAGUACUGUAAUUAUCCCUUCUUCCAGAGUAGAUUUCCUCAGCCGGAGAGUCCAUUUCUUCUCAUCAUCACAUUAGGCAAUGGUAAAGACUGAAGCAUUUAUGUCUCUUCUUGACUUUGUGUGAUCAUUCCACUCAUCAGGUCAGAUAUAAUUGCAUGUCCAUGUUAAUUCAGUUCAAUGAUAUAACUCAUGUCCCUUCUUCAUCUGUACCAAAUUAUUUGGUUUGAACCUGAUGCAGCAGUAUUACUUGUCAUUGCAGGGGCAAGCACAGUCAUGCAUUCUAUCAAGCCAAUAUUAUCCAUCAUAAUCUGUUUGUAAAACUAGCUGUUUGUAACUCUCUGUUUAAAGCACAGUCAUGGUUUGAUGUUUAAUAGUGUUUACGAUCCAUCACAAUCUGUUUGUAAAAUAUUCUCCAAGUUCUUUCCUGAUUUUGAUGUUUAAUAGUGUUCAUGAUCCCAAUUUUUCAAAUAUUCUUCAAUCCUGCUACAGAUUGAAAUGAUCCUUAAAACUAGCUGUUUGUAGAAUGUUCUCCAUGUUCUUUUCUGAUUUGAUGUUUAUUAGUGUUUAUGAUCCCAAUUUUUGAAAUCUUACUUCAUUGCUACUAGGGAUUGAAAUGAUCAAAUGAUCCUUAAAACCAGCAGACAAUUAACAAGCUUUUGAUUUGGUUAAAACCAGCAGACAAAUGAUCCUUAAAACCAGCAGACAUUUGAUCAAAUGAUCAAAUGUAAUUCAGUAAUACAAAACUCUCACGCAACAAAUACUUAGUAUCGACCCAAAAAAAAAAAAAGAGAUCUAAAUUGUGUUACUUUUCAAUAGAGAAAGUGCAUAGGAACAAAAUGGUAAAUUUUUCAUCAACAUGAUUGUAUUUUCAUGUAUAACAAUAUUUUGCCGAACGCAUACAAUAAAAGGAGGCUAUUUCUAUGCAUUCUUCAACUUAGCAAAUGUCUAAAGAGCGUAACUUUUCUUAAACUAUUUCAUCUUUUAUUUUCUGAUCAAUGUGAUUAAUUGUUCAAUGUUCAUCCUGGUAAAAAUGACAAAUUAAAGAAGCUGAAUGACAUUUUUGCUGAACAAUCUAUGUACUUCUUCAUUUAACUUGACAUCUAAUUGUGAUAUUCUAUACCAUGUAACUUAUUUAAUUCAAGAAUAUUCAGAAAAUAGAGAAAACCAUUAGCUGGCAAUCAUCUAAGACUAAUGAUUGUUGCUAUGACUUGUGAGACUAAAAAGGACAGAAUUCCAGGUGAAAGCUGACUUUAACUUUCUUCUAUCCAAAUGAUUGUAAUCCAAAAUUCCAAAUAUCGUUUCCUCUGCUUUAUUUUUCGACUUUCUUUCUUUCUUUGGGCCUUUGUUUCAUUUUUGCUUUUCUGAAUUUGGGCUGUAGCUUACUGGGUAUAUAUAUUAUUUCUUUUGGUUUUUUAAUUUUUAAUUUUUUGUAUUCUCUAUAUAUUUGUUUCUGUGAUUUAUUUUUUUUCCUUAUUUUUCUUUUUUCCCUUUUCUUGGGUUCCCUAAAAGAAACCUACAUAACUAACAAAAUAGAACAUUGUAUUAAAAAACUAAAUUUAUUAAUUAACAUACACAUGUAUAGACGCAGUUUACAAACUCACAGAGUCCUCAUGGAUGGACCGCUACUGAAGCAUCACAAAACAUAAUUAGUUCUUUUAUUACCCAUUUAAUUACUCUAUCAAAUCUAGUCCCAAUGAUCAAGAAAGGGUUCUUAGAUUCUUUUUCAUACCAAGUUCAAGGUUCGAAUAAUGUAUCUGACAAUUGGAAUUAAAAAGCAAUUCAAAUCAUGUACUUAACAGUCGAGAGUAAAAUGCAUAUGAGAAGGGAUGGGAGGAUUAAAAAAAAAAAAAAAAAGAGUCUCUUCUUGUCUAUAUACAAUAGUGUUCCUCUAUGUGGCUUGUAUAAUUGACUAGACAGCAAAGGCAAGACUUCUAAUGAUCAAAUCACUCUACGCUAACCUUUUAAGGUUUGUUCCACCUGCACCUUUAAAGUUCUUUCUAUUUUCAUUUUGCUUAAUCUUAGUUACAAAACUUUACAUCUUAUCUUUCAAAACAAAUUCUAAAUCUUACAAACGGCAUAAAAUUGAAUGAAAAACCUUAUAUUCACCUUUUUUUGUCAAAUAUUCACCUAGUUAAUACUGCUCUAAGCUGAACUAGGGCAUGAGAGAAUAAACUACUAUUGUUAAUGCCAUGCAUCCAAGGGGUGCUGAGGGAGGCCGUGUUUUGAAAGUUUUAAUUCACAAUGUGUAAAUAUGGGUGUAAAACAAAGUUAGCCCCCUAAUUUUCAUAAUUUUAGUUUAUAUUAUGAUAUAUAUAUAUAUAUAUAUAUAUAUAUAUAUAUAUAUGAUUUAGCCACCUUUGAAUUAAUUUUUUCUUCAAAUAAGUUAUUUAUUUUUUAUUGUGCUAGUUAUUUAACUUUUAAAAAAGUAAACAUAUAAUCAAUAAUCCAUAGUAAAUUGACCCAAUUUGAUACAUUAGAAUAAAUGACCCAAUUCAUAAUCAUCAACGGGUUAAAACAAAAACAAUUACUUUUUUGGCUAAUAUAAAUAUGCAAUUGAGCCCAAUUGAUUAGACUCGUUCUUCCUCUUGCUGUAUCAACUGUAAGUAUAGAACAGAUAUUUUCAAUUAUGAAGAUAAUCAAGAUAGUUACGAAACAAGAUGGAAGUUAAUUUCUUGAAUGAUUGCCUAAUUGUGUACAUAGAAAAGAAAGUUGUUGAAAAAUUUAGCGCUGAUUCAAUCAUAGAUAAAUUUACUUCUAAAAGGAAUGUAAAACUCAAUUUACUUUUAAGAAAAGAGAUUGAAAUUUUAGUGUAUGUUAACAUAACUUUUAUCUUUUUAAAUUAAAAUAUUUAUAUAUAUUGCAUAUAUAUAUUUAUUUAUUUUGCAUAGGCGACAUAUUGGAGUAUCUUUUCAUAAUGUAUAACUUGGGUGGUUUAUGAUAUUAUAAGAUAUUUAAGAAAAGUUUAUUUUUUGUCUUACUUUUCAUUUUGACUAUGUUGCAUAUUUAUAAAAUAAACAUACCUUUAUAAUUAAAAUUAAAAUUUAAUAUUUUUAGAUGUCAUAUAUUUAAAUAGAUGAACAUUAUUUUGAACAUAGCAUAUUAAAAUAAUUUUAUUAGAAAGAUAUUUGGGCGCCUAGGAAAAAUAUCUUGGCUCUGUCACUGCAUGGGUUCCAUUUGGCGUUCUCCUUCUCCCUGGCAUAAAAGAUGAGAUUUGUUUACAAAAAGAGAGCAAGUUGGAGAAGAUGAGGUUACCAGAAUAACCAGCAGUAGAACAAAUUCUCGUCUUAUAUUACCAUUUGCCACCAAUCCUUCAUCAUUGUUCUUCUUUUUUCCAAUCUAUCCUAAUUUUACAUCCAUUUUGCUCAUUAGCAUAUUCAAAUAUUUAACUUAAUUACAGGUUUAAAACCUGAAAGCUCUGCCGGAAUUUGACGCCGGUUUACAUUGGAUUGGACAAAUUUUUGUUUGAGUUACGCUUUUUUUCUUCAAGGAGUCAAAAGGAAACCUUUUAUUCUUUUCGGACCAUUUUUUCUUUAGGAGUCUUAAACUCCAUGAAGUUUUGGUUUUCGUAAUGAUUUCGGACACAUCAGAACUUUUUCAAACUCAAAAUACAUUAAAAUGAUUGAACUGAUGGUUCAAAAUACAUCAAAACCAAUCACUCAUUCUGUUCAUCACUGGUCUGCGUUUCACAAUAUUUUUAAGGGAUAAUUUCAGAAACUUCCCCUGAGGUUUCUGACAAUUACACUUACCUCCCCUGUGGUUUGAACAAUUACACUGACCUCCCUUGAGGUUACUAAUCCUUUACAAAUUCAGUCCAAAUGAUUAAAAUAUUAUUUUAGAGAGUGAAAUUAUAAUUUUGUACCUGAUUUGUCCUUUGUGCCACAUGUCCAAUGAAUGACAAAGUAUUACAAAUUAAUUAACAAUUAAUAAACUUUAACGAGCGUAGUUUAUAGGCAAAUACGUAUUGCCUAUUUAAAGUACCAGCUCUUUACAUGAAUUUUAUUUUCAAACAUUUACUUUAUCACAAAUAUUUAUUCUCAAAUACAGAUUUGUAUUUACUCUCAAAUAUUUAAUUUUUGUUAAAUACAAAACCUACCAGUUUUUCUUCCGUAGAAAUAUUAAUAUAACAUUUUUUCAAUUUUCAGUUACAAAUAUUUAUGUAUUUAACAUAAAUUAAAUGAUUCAGAAUAAAAUACUCAUAAAGAGCUAAUACUUUACUCAUGUAAUGGAUGAAAGCCAUAAAAAAUUAACAUUUUAUAGGCCAUUUUUUUUAAAUUUUAAUUUAUAUUAAAUAGAUAACCUAUCGAUUUUCUUUUCACAAGAAUAUUAUUGUAACACCUUUUAAUUUUUAAUUACAAAUAUUGAUAUAUUUAUUGUAAAUUAAAUAUUUAAAAAUAAAAUACAUGUAAAGAGCCGGUACUUUAAAUAAGUUAUGCGUAUUUGCCUAUAAACUAUACUCCUUACUUAAAUCAAUAAACUACACUCCUUAACUUAAAUCAAUAAACUAUACUCCUUACUUUAAAUAGUGUAGUUUAUAGGUAAAUACGCAUAUCCUAUUUAAAGUAUCGACUAUUUACAGAUAUUUUAUUUUCAAAUAUUUAAUUUAUGAUAAAUAUAUUAACAUUUGUAAUUAAAAAUUAAAAACUAUUAAAGUAAUGUUCUUGCAAAAAAAAAAUCAGUAGGUUAUCUAUUUAAUAUAAAUUAAAUAUUUUUUAAAAAAUAAAUGGCCUCAUAAACUAUUAAUUUUUUAUGACUUUCAUCCAUUACAUGAGUAAAGUAUUGGCUCUUUAUGGAUAUUUUAUCCUGAAUCAUUUAAUUUAUGUUAAAUACAUAAAUAUUUAUAACUAAAAUUGAAAAAAUGUUAUAUUAAUAUUUCUACGGAAAAAAAACUGGUAGGUUUUGUGUUUAACAAAAAUUAAAUAUUUGAGAGUAAAUACAAAUAUGUAUUUGAGAAUAAAUAUUUGUGAUAAAGUAAAUGUUUGAAAAUAAAAUUCAUGUAAAGAGCUGGUACUUUAAAUAGGCAAUACGUAUUUGCCUAUAAACUACGCUCGUUAAAGUUUAUUAAUUGUUAAUUAAUUUGUAAUACUUUGUCAUUCAUUGGAUAUACGGCACAAAGGACAAAUCAGGUACAAAAUUCUAAUUUUACUCUCUAAAAUAAUAUUUUAAUCAUUUGGACUGAAUUUGUAAAGGAUUAGUAACCUCAGGGGAGGUCAGUGUAAUUGUUCAAACCACAGGGGAGGUUUCUGAAAUUAUCCCUAUUUUUAACUGCUAAAGUUGUUCAAAAAGUGGAAUACUUUGAUAAAAAAAUCCUCCCCUGAAGUUUCUAGUAAUAUCAUUUAGCACCCCUAUAGUUCUAAAAGUAUCAUCUACCUUCCCCACAAGUGAAAUGUGACAAAAAUUCAGGAAUACAAUAAUCUUGUUCUUCUCCACAAGACCCUCAACGGACUUUUUCUCAAUUCCCUGUAGCACUAAAUUAACUCCGGCAAGAACUAAAAAUAGCCUUCAUCUUGAGUUGUCAUCCGAAAAAUUGAUGAAAGAGUUUUUGGCAACUUCAAAAUACAAUAAUAAGGCAAAAAUAAAUAUAACAUACGAGAAUCAUGUUGUUUGGCCAAUUGACCUAUGCCACAAGUGAAAGAGCAGCAAGUUCACUAUAAAGAAGAGUACAAAAUCAUAAGUUUUAAAGUACUAAAUACUAAAAAUUCAAAAAAGCCUAGAUCUAACAAAAGGCUCAACAAGCCCAAAUUAGCUUCUAACUAGCUCUUUCGGUUGUCAAUUCCCAAAAAAUCUGUUUCUUAAAUUGGGGCCUAGGGCCUCCCGAGUCUCUCUUGAUACACUAACUAACGGUCCAAGCUUGCUAUUAGUAUCUUUUCACAAGAAAGUCCAACAAAGAGUUUGGUUAGUGGAGACUUGCUAGCAAUAAUAUCUUUUCUGUUGCAUUUUUAGACAUCUUAAGCUGGACGUUCAGUCCUAGUAGAGUUUGGAUUUGGUUUGGUCAAUUAGCUGUAUUUUUUUGUUGAGGGUAGAAGACUAGAAGAGUUGUCCAAAUUAGCUAGAGGAAAAAGGGCAAAAGAAAGCGAAACCAAGAGAUGAAGAAAUAGGAUAGAUGACAACUUGAAUUUUCUUGUUCUUUUCCUCUAUUCCAAAAGGAAUAUUCAAAUAUGCCAAUAUAGUUGAGGGUUAAAUAGUUAAUUUGGUGGUUACUGCUCGUGGGAGUAUUAUGUCUAACCCAAAAAAAAGGGUAAAAGGAAAAAAACCUGUGUAACAAGUAGGCAUAACCUCGUUGAUUCUCAGCUAGAACAAUCCUAUUACUUCUAAGAUUGGAUAAUCUCUCUGUUUGCCUACAAAUUUUUAAGUGUUUUUAAAAACAAUAAAGUUUUUACAAAAAAGGAGCAAAUGGACGGUUAAGUGUAGAUAUCCUACAUUUAUAUCAACAGGAAAAAUAUAAAACUAAAAAAAAAGAAUUUAACCAGACCAAUUAACUAAUAAUUUUUAUAAAUAUAUAUAAAUUGUUUGCUCUAUAUUUUCUUAGUUUUCUUGUUUUUAUUAAUACUCAUUCUCAGUUAGAUGCUAGAUGCUUAUAUAAGCAUUAAGCAUACUCAGAGAUAUGGCAAAAGAAAAACUUCCAUAAAAACUCCUUUAGAUUUUCACUUAGAAUGUGCCAAAUUAAAUGAUCAUCCCAACACAGCAAAUUUGGCAAUUGAAAUACAAAUUUUAUUUUUUUAUUUUAAAUUCACAAAUAAAUGAAAGAGAUAAUAGGAAAGAAAAGGUCACGUUGAGUGCCUAAAUCUCUGAAAAAUGUAAGGGCGUCUUUAGUUUUGGAUUUCCUUUAACAAAAAAUAAAUAAAAGAAUGAAAACUUUUUUGUACAAAAUACCAAUGUUUUGCUCGAAAUCAAUUGCUUUUCUAUAAAGAAAUUUAUGUCAACAACACUCUAUUACUAAAUAUAACCUCAAGGUUAAUGUUUUCGCUAUCUUUUGUUUAGUUCUACAAAGUUUAAGCAAUUAGAAAAUUGAGCUCUUCCUAAAGGCAUGAGUUUAAUUUCUUUAUUAUGCCUUCACAGUAUGGGGCUCCAGGAAUCACAUUACUUGGUGUAAUUGGGUUCCAAGGUAGCCAGUUGAUUUUGAGUUCUCACGUUGAUCUAGCAUGGCAAGAAAUUUCCUUCUAAAUGUAGCUUCAGUAAACUUCUUAAAUCCAUCCACAAGAACUCAUUUUUGAUAAAUGAUAAUUAUGCAAAAUUUGAAUUUGAAAUUUAACUUUUGUAUAUGUAUCAUAGAUCUAACAAUGAUAGUUUAUACACUGUCAGUAUAUAUAAGAUUUACUCUUUUGUAUAAUAUUUAAUUUUAAUCUCUUUCCUCAAGUAUUUCCUUCAUUCACAAUUUUAUUCAUUAAAAGUUUUUAGAUAUUCUUGUUUAGUUUCCAAAAGUUCCUCCAGGAUAGUUUCCUUAAUAUCACAACAAUUAAUCGUGUUGAACAAGAAAUUGAUAUGCUAAUCUUCUUUAGUUUCCAAAAGCACUGUCAAAGAAAUUUGUUAAACUUCUUUCCGAAAAUUUUUUUUUUUUUUGCACUAUUGCUCAAGGAAACUAAGGAAAUCUGCUUACUUGCUCACAAUUAAUUGAUUGCCAGAGAAAUUUCUAAAACUUCUUUACAAACAAUAAUUUCUUUCCAACUAUUGCUCAAGAAAGUUAACAAAGUCUGAGUUUAAUAUAUUUUAUAUUUCUAAAGUAAAAACCCAUUCUUGCUGUUACAUUGAAUUACAUAAAUAACCACAAUUAUCAUAAAUAAAGCAAAGCUAAAAAAACAACAUUGCAUACCGAGGGUAUUAUCGGAAUAUGAGAUCUAAUGCACUAAUCCGCUAAUUUAAACUCUUGCUCUUAAUAUCUUAUCUUACAUAUAUAUAAAAAGCUAAGACUUCUUCUCCCAGGUUCUACCACGUGGCUGGAUGAGGAGAGGGAGGAAAAUUUUCUUCCGUUUAUGCCCUGAGAAUAUUGAGUAGUUCUCCAAACAGUGUAUCACUGUUGAGGUCAUUUUUGUCUUUUCUCAUAAAAUUACUAUCUUGCCCAAAUAAAAAUAACUAGCCCCAGGUUCAACCACGUGGCUGGAUGAGGAGAGGGAGGAAAAUUUUCUUCUGUUUAUGCCCUGAGAAUAUUGAGUAGUUCUCCAAACAGUGUAUCACUGUUGAGGUCAUUUUUGUCUUUUCUCAUGAAAUUACUAUCUUGCCCAAAUAAAAAUAACUAGCCCCAAAACAGUACCUAACUAUUGAGGGUUAUUUCUGACUUUUUGCGAAUAAUCUUUUGCGUUACUUCUCAGUGUUUCCCGUCUUUUCCCCUCUUUUCCUAGACCCAAGAAAGCGGUGGUUGGCAUUAGCUCUGUUCUCCACUUCUUCUUUGUCUCCAUUAUGAAAGACAAGAAGCCAAAAAGUCAAACAACUUUAGCACCGAUGGCAGGAAAGCAAAACACUCCAUUUGCACUUCAUUUUACAACUUUAGCCCAUCAUCUUUUGUUUUAUUCUUCCUUUCUUUCUCAGUCUUUUGCUCUCUUUCUCAAUCUUUCCUAUCCCUUCUUCUCUUUAGUCUUUUCUCAGCGAAAGAAACCGGUAGUUGCUGCUUCUUUUUUGUAUCCAUUGUCAAAGACAAGAAGUAAAAAAGUCAAAUAAAAAAUGGAAGCUGACCCAUAUGGCAGCAAGACAAAACAGUCCCUUUCUACUUCCUUUUAGCCCAUCAUCUUUUGUUUUCUUCUUCCUUUCUUUCUCUCUGUUUCCCGUUUCUUUAUUUCUCCUUUCUUUUCUUGCUGGUUGAACGAAGAAAAGUACAACUUCAAUUCUUCCAUCAGUAGCCAAUUGUUUAGAAGUGUUUUUGACUUUUUCCCUAGCAUUCUUGCCCUCUCUUUCCCGUUGUUUCUGCUUCGUUUUCUUUUUGCUGCAGAAGAAGCAUGUUUGCAUAUUUCAUUUUGUUUUCAUGUUCAGUUCUACUUUUUCUCCUUCGUCCCUCCCUCUCUGUUUCCAUUCCUUUGUUUCUCUUUUGUUUUCUUCCUGGUUCGGACAAACAAAAGUACCAACAGAUCUGCUCCAACACCUGGUCAAUAAUUUUUCCCCAAAUUAUGGCUGCUCAUCCAUAUCCCAAUCGUGGUAUUGUUCCACAAAGAGUCAAUUGUGGCUGCCCAUGCAUAUCCCAACCAUGCGAUUAUUCCACAAAGAGUCAGGUAUGAGGUAUGAUUUCUACCUAUUACUAGAGAUAUAGGUUUGUCCUUUUGCCUUCCUUUUCAUUUGCCAGUUCACAAAUUAUCGAGAGUGAGAAGAAAAAUCUCUAACAACUCAUCAAUUUUGUGUUGUUAUCUAUUGUCAGUGAAAGAAAAAUUCCUAACAACUGAUAGAGUUUGUGUCUUUAUAUACAUCAGGAACACAAACACUGCUCACAAAAAAAAUCAACGGUUCUACCUCCUUUUGCUCUGCAACAUUUCCAAGUAAAGGUAACUAUUCAUAUUCUGUGCCUAAUAUUUUUCCGAACGAGUCUUGAACAGAUUGGAAAAUCUAUAUACUUUCUAUUUUGGUUGCCAAAUUUCUUCAAGGGUUUAAUUGCACUUUGAAAGAAUUGGUGCAGAAGAGCUUCUGAUUUAACGUUCACAGAUUUCAGUUCUAAGUUCGUUUGCUUUCAGUUAUUACUUGUCGACUGAAUUUUUUUCCCUUACUUUUGUUGUUAUCAGUUUUAAGUUCCCUUGCGAGUAUCAGGUCCACAGAUUGUAAGUUCUUCUAUUUUUUUCCUCCAAUUCAACGAAUGUGGUAUUUUUGAAUGGUGGAUAGGAUGGGAUAGAAGGUUGUGUAGAUGAAAUGGAUUUUGGUUGUUGAUAGAGCAGAGGAAUAGUCUGAUACUUGGUAAUUACUUGUAUGCAUGUUUUUGGGGUCUAAAGUCGUGGAUUUGCAAGUUGGACACGACAGUGAGUGAGACGGACGGAAGUUGUGGAAUAGGCGGACAUGCAUAAUCAUAUAUAUAUAUGCAAAUUGGACUUUGGCUUUCUAUGUACGUAAUAUAUAUUUGGCUUUCUAACUUCCUACACAUAAAAAAUGGUGAAAUUGCAGCAUGAAGUGACUAUACCUGUCUAAACAAAAGAGCAAACAGACCACAAAUAUGUGAGCCAAGAUUCUUUAAUAUGUAUAAAAUUUCCAUUCAAAAGUAUUGCAAUAACACUUGUAGAUAGGAAAUGGAGAGAGGUGGCAGUUGGAAUAAAUAUUGUGUCAUUUUAUGAAUUUUUAAUUUUGUCCUUAAAAAUUAAUUUUUACUCUUCUAAUCAGAUUUGCUACCAUAAUCUCCCAUAAAUAACUCCCUUAAAUAUUAUAACUACCAAAUAAACUAUAGCUGUUUUUAAAGAAAAAGUUACUAAUAAAUUGCAAAUUUUUUUUGAAGAUUUUAUAUAAAAUUUAAUUUUGUAAAAACAAAAUUAACAUAUUCAUAAACAUUAAUAAUUAUUUCUAAACUGCACGUACAUUGGGUGUGCCCUUAACAUUAGUCUAUAUAAUAUAUAUAAAGGGCGAUUUAGUGUAAACAUUAUUUGUCACUCUUUGAACUUUCGAUUUUACUCUUAUAGAACAAAACAUGUUUUACUUUAAUUAUUUACCUUAAACAUACCUAAUACUAACCAUUGUGACUAUCAAUAUAACAAUUAUUAUUUGAAAGAAAUUUAAGAGAUUAAUUAUUAUUUUGGCAAUGAAAAAUUCAUAUGAAAUUUACUUACCAUAAAUAUUAUACAUCUAUUUAUUGAACACACAUUGAGUGUGCAAAAAGCACUAAUUUUUUUUAUUGUUUUACGUUCUCUUUGUUAAAGGAAACAAGAAUCUAAUUACUGCUAAUACUUAAUAGCUUUUUGACUUUGGGUGUCUAACCUGAGUUGAUGGAUGGAUGGACCGACCGAGAAGAAGAAGAAGGAUGAUGAUAACUAAAAACACACUAAUAAAACAUUGCAAGUAGGCAAACAAAUCGAUAGGUAUACUGAUGGACACGGACGCUCUUUGAAGUUGAUUUUUCCAACUAAGAAAAGAGGCAUAGACCAAAAAAGGGAUUUUUUUUCCUUUUCUUUUGGGGGGAGGCCAUUGUGUGUACGGCAGAUUGAGUUCAUCUCUUGUUCUUGUCGUUGUUCAGGUUCUAAUAUAAUAUUGGAAAUCCUCAGAUAGAAGCUUGAGGGUAGGUGUAGGUGGGUGGUAUUUCUUAAUAUUUCAGCUGCUUUUCUCCUUAGCAGAUUGAUAUUCAUUUAAAGUGUGCCUAAUUAUAUUUUUGCCUCUUUCUAAUUUUUUCUCAUCUAAGUAUAGUUUAAACAUAUUGGAUAAUUUGUAUAGUUUUACAUUGAUACCUUUCUUGUACAUUUUAUUUUGGUUGCCAACUUUGUUCAGGGGUUUAGUUACGAUUUAAAAGAGUCGGUGCUAAAGAGGCUUUUGUUUGGGGUUGGCAGAUUCGUAUUAAGGAAUUGCUUCAAUUCAAGGUCAUUCCUUCUAUUCCUUCACUACAUCUUACAAUUUUCGUGCUUAAGUUUUGCUCUGCUUGACUACACUCUAGAGAAUAUCAUAACUGAAUCUCUAUGCUUAUACCAUUUUUCUUUCUCAGAUUUUGCCUUUUACUAUUUAAUCACUCUAAUUUGUUGAAUAUGACGCUCUUAAACAAUUAAUCUCAUGUUUGUAUCUCUUGGUCAGCUGCUUGUAUCUAACAGUUUGGAUUUCAUAUAUAUAGAAGUUAGCUUUACUCUCUUCAUUAGCUAUCAUUGUGCCUAAGUUUUGUUAUAUUUCGUCUAUUACUCAUAAUUUUUUCAGUUGUAGGUUCAUUUGGUCUCACUUAUUAACUGAACGUAUGCUUUAUAUGAUUAUGGUGAGGCUGGCUAAUCAAUAGAUUAAUAUGUAUUAGAAGCAAACGAGUAUGAUCAAGGAAGAUCACCUACUUGCUGCAAUCAAAGUUGCUGCUUCUAUCAGGGGACACAACCUAUCAGUAAGCUUUCAAGAACUACCAUGAAUUGCAUUUGAGUUCAGUUUUAUUCAACAUUCGAAUGAAGAUUCUUAUCUCAUAAAGUACGCUCCAACCAUUAGGAUUUUAUUAACAGUAUUCUGUUUAUUAAAAAAAAAAUCCACAAGUCACAAAAUUUUGACGAAAUAGAAAGACACUUCCUUGCAUGACUUAGUCCACAUCAACUCCACUCUAUAAGCAUAAGACCAAUAUUUUGCAUUCUGCAUUUUGGCAUAUAAACUUAUAGAUAUUUCUGCGAUUUUACUUUUUUUAUUCUUAUUCAUGCUCCUGGUCAUGCUACUCUACAAAUAAAGAGCUUCAUAUAAUUGAUUAUUGUGGCCAGUCAAUGAAUGCAAAAGUGAAAAAUGAAAAAUGGGCUUCACAAUGGGAAUGUUUUAGGAAUCUAGAUGUUAUACACAAUCAAUUUGGGCUUUCCAUUUAAUUUGGAAAUAGUAGCAGCAGCAACCCACCUUGCUCUUCAUUUUUCCUUUUAGGGAGUCCUCCUUGGUAAGUUUAAUUUGCCCUUUUUUUUUGAUGUUGUUAGCUUUUCUACAUGACAAUAGUAAACAAACAAAUAGAUUGGUAUACCUAUGCUCUCAUCGUAGAUAUUAAUCAUAUAGACACCAAAGCAGCGGUACAUUUUCAAUCUAAAUUGAUAACCAAAUUGUUGAUUUGUUAAUGUGUAUCUCAUCUGCCUACUUGUCAAAGAAAUCAACGGUAACCGUUAAUCGAAAGAGAGAGAUGAAAUGGAAGCUCUUGAAUGAGUUGUUCCACCCACAGUACUUUGUACAAUAACAAAUUUCAUGUUAGUUGAAACCUCCAGUCCCUUUACAGACUUGCAAUUAAAAUCAACAUAGCAGAACAGUCAAUAGAUUGUCGUCAUUGUACAAUGUUAAAAAUGUGAAAGUUAAUGAAGAAAGAGAAAAUACGGGUAAAUAUUGUCUAUCUCCUAUGUUCAGCAAACAUCCACUUUAUGAUUUUCUAACAUCUCUUCUUCACAUAUUUAGCCUUAAGGUCAACGAAAAGACUGCAGCAUGCUAGCAUUAUCUCAUCUUAGUUCACUUUACCUUAACUUUGUUGGUAAAUCCAGGGAUCAGGAAUUUGAUAAAAUGAAAUUCAAUGAAUGAAAAUUGACAUGUCCCUUUUUGUGCUAUAUAAAUUCUUAUGUUCUAAAUUAUUGAAUCUGGCAUAUACUGAUUAUCUAUGGUUUACAUUUCUAGCUGCAUGGUUUUGUAAAGAAAGAGCAAUUGGAGGAUGCCCUCACUCACAUGGACCUUCUGAUCAUUCCUGUUGGAGUUCAUAGGAAACUAGCAAUGACUAGAGAUAACCUUUUUAAUAUCAAUCCUGACAUUGUUAGGGCUCUAUGAAUGAAUUUCAAAGUGCUGUACGGAAGCUAUUGUCUGCAUGGUGCCAUUUGGGGCUGCAAUGAACGUCACAUUUGUAAAGUUAUGUACUAUUGUUCUACGAUUCAGUUAAUUUUGUUUUGGUGUUGUUUAGGUAUCUUUAUUAUCGAUAUCUGAAAAUUCAAAGUCUAACAUGCUUCAAUUAGCCCAAGAUUUGAAUUUUUUUUGGUCAUAAUUGUUGUUCGAGCUGUACAAAUUAUUGUAAAACUGUGGAAUUGUACGAGAGUGUGCAUCUUUCAGUGUGAAAGAAAUAUUGUGUGCUGUGAGUUAAUUAACUUGAGUUUAUUGUGUUCUUCAUUCAUGUUUAUUUUUCAUAUUGCAUAUGUGCUUAUUUCUCCAGACUCUUCAUGGUUUAUGUGGAGCUAUGCAUGCACUUCAUUAUGGUCCAGAAUGGCAUAAGCUUUACAUUCCUUCUUAAGGGCCUUUGUUGUCACUCAAUAUGAAAAAUGAUUGAUUGAUGUCUAAAAUAUGAGAGCAAAAAUUAAUAUGUCUUCAUGAUAGAAUUUUUAGUGAACUUUACCAUUGUGGUCUCGCCCCUUAACCACCUCAAUUACCAAUUAUUUUAAUACUUCAGUUCUACGAGUUAUUGAUAGGUUGCGAUUUUAUCAUUUAUUUUAUUAUUAAUUUCUCCUAUUACCUGACCCAAUUUGGAUUAAUUGUUAGUUUCUACUCACUUUUAGUAUUUUACAUAUAUUUCAGGGAGUAGAACGAAAAUACCAUAAUAAGUGCCGAUUUGACAGUUAUCAGGAAAGAGUUCAAGUAGCAGGCAUCCAGGGCAUUUUUGGAACAAGGAGAUACAAGUCCUUUUUGGUAAUUCGCAGAGCGCAGCAUUAAAAGGAGGAACGAAGGGCUGAAGUGGGGGUCUUCUUCUUCCUCUCCGGAAGGGGAGCCGCCGCACAUUGGAGAGCUUUUCGUCUUGUAGCUUAGCCGUAGUUGUUGACUUUUCUUCUUAGUUUUUGUUAGCUAGUUUCUUUCUUACGUAUGAAGAUUGCUGAGAAGCUUAGCUUUUGUUUUUGAUUCUGCCUAUUCAAUUUCUCUUCUCCGAAUGUCGGACAAAAGCAAACACACUCAGUGGACUCUCGUAGCUUCCUUUCUUUAUUGAAUGCCCAGCUUCCCAAUUGAUGGCCGCAGCCUUUGCUUCAAUUUCUUGUGGGUUUAGUUCAUUAAUUAUGAACUAAUUCUACAAUUCUAGUCAAGGGACAACUGACGAUUUGGUUCGACAACUACUGUGAGAUCGAAUCUGUUUUAAUUAUUUUCUUCAUCUAUUGGUAUUUGUAUGUUCCUUGAUUUUAAUUGCUAUGGCCUUGUGUAUGAUUGAUUAGUGCGCAAUAAUUAAUUAUUCAUAUAGGCUAUUUUUGCUAAAUAGGGGUAAUUGAAUCCGUAAUUGUUCGUUAUCUCUACCUCAGUAGCAACUGGCGUAAUUGGGUUUAUGUCAGGGGAGCAUAUGAUCUAAUUUAAACAAACCCUCGUAGCGUGUUUGUUGGUUAGGAUUGGGCCUUUCUAAUUAUUAAUGCAAUCUAGAAAUUAAAUCCUACGGUCGUACUUAGGGUUGUUUUUGGGUUAGAGAAAUAGCUAACGGUCGUACCUUAGCUAUCGAUAAAUUAAGGAAGGGUUGGUUGUUUAUCGCGUGCAUGACAACUAUAACCAAUCUAUUAAUAAAUGUUGGGAUUAUUUUUGCAUCAAUGAUCAGUGCAUGAACCAUUUCUGAAGUAUACCCUUGGCUAGAGUUUCUCUUAGUUAUUUCUUUUAAUUAAUUAUUUUCUGCAGUUAAUUUAUUUAGUUAGCAUUUAUUCCAAAACCCCCCAUACUUUGGACUCUAAAAGAAACAAUUACUCCCAGUCCCUGUGGAUUCGACCCUACUCAUCGCUAUCUACAGAAUUAACUUUAGUUUGAGCAGGUUUUAUUAUUGUACAGGUUCGGCACCUGUCAGUUAUGCAUUUGCAUAGACACUAAAUAUAACUUGCCAAAAAUUUACAUGUUAUUGUUUACAGAAAUGAGAAUACCAGCAAAUUUUUCAAUAUUUUUGACACUAUAUAUAUUGGGCAUUGGCUGUGCAAGGCACAACCAGAAAAUCUCUAGUAUUAUAGAUAAGUUGUACCUCUAUAAGCAUUUAAUUAGAGCUACUCGCUGGCCACAAUAUUGUAGCGGGAAGACUCUGGCUAUUUCUUGAUUGAUUUACAAUAAUAUGAUUCAAAUUAGACAAUUAGUUUGAAAACUUGAAAGCCAUAAGCCAGCAAUUGUAAUUUAAUUGCUGAUGUGACUGCAAAAAGUGACCAAUUUGGUCAUUAAAAAAGAGACUAAAUUGGCACACGCAUGGCCCACCAAUAAAGCACCAGAUUCGGAGGAAUCUUUGUUUGGCGCUACACUGAAGUUGCUGGGAAAGUUCUGAAGCACCAUAUCCUCUGUGAACAAGUUAGUGUCCUGCAAUAUUUAAACAACAAGUGGGGGGAAAAAAAGUCCAGCCUAUUCUUUGUUGGCUAUUGUUAGAUGAGAAAGUUUUGGAUCCUGAACUGAUUUUAUUGAGUAGCUGCUAAACCAGACAAAAAUCUAAUAUCAGAGUGAAAAGAAGAUAUGAUAAUGGAGAUCCCCUCCAGCAGUAACGCCGACUGCUUUGAUUUUGCUUUAUAUCAUUAUCUGCAGUCGCAUCACAUCUCCUCCAGCACUAGCACUAGUUGCUUUGAUCUUGCUUUGGAUUUUCUAGCCGAGCCCAUAUUUCGCUGGGACUCUGAUUACCUGAAGGAGAAGGUAAGAUUAAUGAAAACCUGUUUUCUGUAUGUCAAAAAGUGUAGGAGGAGGAGGAACCACGAAGCGCUUUUGGAGCAUGAUUGCGAGGACAGGCGUAAUAUUAUGUCUGAAAAUUUGAGACGUAGUAUUAUUUGCUUCAGAAUUCAAGAUGUGGCUAUCAGUAUGAUUCAUGAUCUUCAGCCUGCUUAUUUUCAAUAUAUUCAUUCUGAUUAUCACUUAGAUUUUUCCUUCAUUCAAAGUGCGAUUACCAGAUCCGAGGAAAAUAUCAAAAUGUUUCUUGAGACGGAUGUCAAUAAAUCAUGCGCCGCCAUCUUCAUCGACUAUUACUCACCAGGAGAUCCACGACUAGUUAUGGAUCUUAUUAUGUGCCUUUUAGAGACUCUGGAUUGUGUUUUACGUGCUGGGGAGCUAAGGGAUACAAUUAGAAAUAGGCUAAAACUCUUCAGGAAUCUCAUUGGCUUUGUGACAAUGCAAGGUCUUGAAUGUUCGCAACUGACAGAUCUCUUGACUUACACUGUAGUUGCAGCUGGAAGCCUGAUUUCUAUAUGUCAGUUUGACAGUGAUGAUGUACAAGUGGUCAAUCGAAUGGAAUCUGAAAUUUAUCAGCUGAUACAGGAGAAGAUCAAUCGUCUUGAUCUCCAAGCCCGAGAAACUUUUGUCCAUGUGCUGACAGCUUCAAAGAAACAACCGAGAUCAUCAUAUGAUUUAGCCCUUCAGAAGAAUGAGGAUCCAGUGGUAGGCCAGUUUGUUGGUUCUCUUCGUGAUUAUCUUAUGGAUCUACUAGGAUCUUAUUCCAGUUUUCCGGUUCCAGUGAAGGAUCAAAUACUAAGACUCCAUGAGGAAAUAAGAUGCCUGAGUAUCCUUCUUAAACAAGAGGAGAAACUAGGUGAUGAAAUAAAGGAUCUUAUUGGAGCUGUGGUAUCUGAUGCAGGAAUUUUGACCUUCUCCCUUUCUGUCAAUGAAAUCAAGGAAGGCUUGCCUGAGGAAACAGAUCUUGGGGUGUUUCAUUUGCACAAAGUUCUCAAAUAUAUGGCAGCAGAGGUUGCACACAAUUUUCCACUAAAAUCACCAUAUUCAUCAUUUAAUUAUCCUAGACCCAAUGAGUUGGGCUGUAUGGAUUUUUUCCUAGAAAAUCUCAAGGAACUAGCAAGGUGUGAUGAGGCUGAUGAUUCAAUUGGUUUUCAACAUCAUAGAAUCCAAGCGAUCCAAAACGAUCUCGUAUUCUUAAGAUCUUUCCUCGAAAAUAUCAAAGAGCAGCGCUAUCAGAAUGGAAAACUUCAAGCUUUCUGGAGUCAUGUUAUGGAUGCUGCAUACAAGGCAGAGUUACUGAUUGACUUGGCACUUGUUGGUGAUAAAUGUGAAGAUUCUUUGGAUGCCGUUUCUAGACAUAUUAAUCUUUUGAAGAUUGAGGCCCCAGAGAUCCAUAAUGGUCAAACCCAAAGAGUUAACAAGACUUCCAUUCACAUACCAUCACAAUUUACUGUCGCCAUGCAUGACGAAGAUCUGGUGGGUCUUGACGACGAGGUGGAAACUAUUACUCAUCGGCUUACGAGAGGAUCAAAGCAAUUGGAUGUUGUUCCCAUUGUGGGUAUGCCUGGCCUUGGGAAGACCACAUUAGCCCACAAAGUUUAUACUGCUCCUUCAGUUAGGUCACAUUUCCAUGUUCGUCGUUGGUGUCGUGUUUCUCAAACGUGUAGCAAACACAGUUUGUUAGUUCAACUUUUGUGUAGUAGUUCUUCUAAGAGUUCUGAUGAAUAUCUUGAGAUGGAUGAAAAUGAUUUGACUAACAAGCUAAGGCAGGUUUUGCUGAGAAGUAGGUAUCUCCUUUUUUUGGAUGACUUGUGGGACGUUGAGGCAUGGAAUUUGUUGGAAAAAUCACUGCCGAAUGAUGCCAAUGGAAGCAGGAUUCUCUUCACUAGUAGAUACCAACAUUUAUCUUUGCAUUUCAAACCUAAUAGCGAGCCUCACUAUCUCCGCCAUCUUACUGACAAAGAGAGUUGGACAUUGCUGCGGAGAAAGCUAUUUGGCACGGAAGAUUGUCCUGCAGCACUAAGUGAAGUUGGAUCUCAAAUAGCAAAACUUUGUCGAGGCUUACCCCUCGCAGUUGUCCUUGUUGCUGGAAUUCUUGCUACUACUGCAAAAGAUAGUUGGAAUGAAGUUGCAAAAAGUCUAAGUUCUAUUGUCCUUGGGGAUGAAUACUGCAUGAAGACACUUGAGCUGAGUUAUAGUCAUUUACCAGAUUAUUUGAAGCCAUGCCUUCCGUAUUUUGCUGCAUUUCAAGAAGAUGAGGUUAUUAAUGUGCGAAGGUUGUUACGGCUUUGGAUCUCUGAAAGAUUCGUGCAACAGGCAGAAGGAAAGAGCUUAGUGGAAGCAGCUUAUGACUACUUGAUGGCUCUAGUUAAUAGAAGUUUAGUUAUGGGUGUCGGACAAAGAACUCUGGGUGGUGCCAAAGCCUGUCUACUUCACGAUUUGGUACAUGAGUUUUGCGUGGAAAAAGCCAAAGAAGAAAGUUUUCUAUAUGUUAUUCAUAGUUGGAAAGCUCCUCUUAGUCUUACUGGGCCAAGCAACCCCCACCGAGUUUGUGUUUCCAAUACCGGAGAAUUGACAAUUUGGGAGUUAAUGCUUAUUUUUCCCAAUUUACGUUCUUUGAUCUUGUUUGGAAAUGUUCAUAUUGAACAUGAAGAGGAGGAUUUGGGUAUUUUGUUACCUAAACUUGUCAGAGUGUUGGAUUUUGGGAAUUUGGGCUUUGGUAAUUCUUUUCCGAUGGAAGUAGUAUUGCUUGUUCGCUUGAGAUACCUGGCGCUCAAAGGAAUAACAAACAUCCCAUCUGCGAUAGCCAACCUCUCAAGGUUAGAAACUCUUAUCGUAAAAUAUCCGGUUUUUGGUAUUGAGCUGCCAAGUACUAUUUGGAACAUUAAGACAUUGAGUCAUCUGCGUGCUUUAAAUUAUCAUGGAGUAUGGCCAAUGGGUUUUAUUUUUCCAGUUGAAAAUCUGGAAGUAUCCCUAGAUUUAGAUUGUUUAGACACUUUAGACCUUGCAAUUGAUCCCUCCUCUCAAAGCUUGCAAAAGAUACUGAGAAAGUUACCAAGCAUUCGCAGGUUAAAAUGUAUGGAACGCUGGAACAGCUCAAGAGAAGCUACCAGAAAUUGCAACGAGAUUCUUGAAUUUGACAGUUUGAGUCAACUGGAAUCACUUCAUUUGUUUCGUUUUCAUGGAUGUGGAUUUAAAUUCCCGUUGAAUUUGAAAAAGUUGUCUCUCUCAUAUAAUGGUCAGCCAUGGAGUGAAAUUUCAACAAUUGGAAAGUUGCCUAAUCUUGAAGUGCUGAAAUUACUUGAUCACUGCUUUGUUGGGGAAGAAUGGGCAAUGAAAGAAGGGGAGUUCCCUAAACUCCGAGUCUUAAAAUUGUCAGAAUUGGAAUUUCGCAACUGGACUGCAUUUUCUGAUAAUUUUUCCCGCCUUAAGAAAUUGGUCUUGAGCUGGUGUGAGGAGCUGGAAAAGGUCCCUUCCUGUUUAGGGGAGUGUGAGACUCUUGAAAUGAUUGUGGUGAAAAGGUGUCGUGAGUCUGUUGUAGAU